AGCGAACGCUGGCGGCAGGCCUAACACAUGCAAGUCGAACGAACUCUUCGGAGUUAGUGGCGGACGGGCGAGUAACACGUGGGAACGUGCCUUUAGGUUCGGAAUAACUCAGGGAAACUUGUGCUAAUACCGAAUGUGCCCUUCGGGGGAAAGAUUUAUCGCCUUUAGAGCGGCCCGCGUCUGAUUAGCUAGUUGGUGAGGUAAAGGCUCACCAAGGCGACGAUCAGUAGCUGGUCUGAGAGGAUGAUCAGCCACAUUGGGACUGAGACACGGCCCAAACUCCUACGGGAGGCAGCAGUGGGGAAUCUUGCGCAAUGGGCGAAAGCCUGACGCAGCCAUGCCGCGUGAAUGAUGAAGGUCUUAGGAUUGUAAAAUUCUUUCACCGGGGACGAUAAUGACGGUACCCGGAGAAGAAGCCCCGGCUAACUUCGUG
Molecule: ribosomal RNA, 433 nt
Filed under: uncultured bacterium
Lineage: Bacteria
Description: partial 16S ribosomal RNA
Rfam family: Bacterial small subunit ribosomal RNA
Source: RNAcentral